GACAUAGGUGGCAAACGUUAUCCGGAAUUAUUGGGCGUAAAGAGCGCGCAGGCGGUCGUUCAAGUCGAGUGUGAAAGCCCCCGGCUCAACUGGGGAGGGUCACUCGAUACUGAUCGACUUGAAGGCAGGAGAGGGAAGCGGAAUUCCCGGUGUAGUGGUGAAAUGCGUAGAUAUCAGGAGGAACACCAGUGGCGAAGGCGGUGGUCUGGGCCGGAACUGACGCUGAGGAGCGAAAGCGUGGGUAGCAAACAGG
This 253-nucleotide ribosomal RNA is filed under the name uncultured bacterium. RNAcentral's name for it is "partial 16S ribosomal RNA". It matches the Rfam family "Bacterial small subunit ribosomal RNA", at positions 524 to 776 of the family's 1533-position model. The record is from RNAcentral.